Molecule: ribosomal RNA, 495 nt
Filed under: uncultured bacterium
Lineage: Bacteria
Description: partial 16S ribosomal RNA
Rfam family: Bacterial small subunit ribosomal RNA
Source: RNAcentral
GACGAACGCUGGCGGCGUGCCUAAUACAUGCAAGUAGAACGCUGAAGGAGGAGCUUGCUUCUCCGGAUGAGUUGCGAACGGGUGAGUAACGCGUAGGUAACCUGCCUGGUAGCGGGGGAUAACUAUUGGAAACGAUAGCUAAUACCGCAUAAGAGUAGAUGUCGCAUGACAUUUGCUUAAAAGGUGCAACUGCACCACUACCAGAUGGACCUGCGUCGUAUUAUCUAGUUGGUGAGGUAACGGCCCACCAAGGCAACGAUACAUAGUCGGCCUGAUAGGGGUGACCGCCAACCUGGGACUGAGACCCCGCCCAGGAUCCCACGGGGAGCAGCAGUAGGGAAUCUUCGGCAAUGGGCGGAAGUCUUACCGAGCAACGCCGCGGGAGUGAAGAAGGUUUUCGGAUCGUAAAGAUCCGUUGUAAGGGAAGAACGAGUGUGGGAGUGGAAAGUUCACGCUGUGACGGUAUCUAACCAGAAAGCGACGGCUAACUACGUG